UGUCAGAACGGAACUGUAUAGAAAUUGUCACUAAACUGAUUGCGGAAAAGCAGUUGGAAGUAGUGCACACACUUGAUGGAAAAGAGUAUGUCACUCCAGCACAGAUUAGUAGGGAGAUCCGGGAUGAGCUUCAUGUUUGUGGUGGUCGAGUAAACAUUGUUGACUUACAACAGGUAAUAAAUGUGGACCUUCUGCACAUUGAAAACAGAGCUAACGACAUCGUUAAAUCUGAAAAAACUAUUCAGCUUGUACUGGGACAGCUUAUAAAUGAGAGUUACCUGGAUCAAUUAGCAGAAGAAAUAAAUGAUAAACUACAGGAAACUGGCCAGGUGACAAUAUCAGAACUCUGUAAGGCGUACGACCUUCCGGGAGACUUCCUGAUACAGGCAUUAUCCAGGCGUUUGGGUAGAAUUAUUCAUGGACAACUAGACCAGGAAAACCGUGGGGUGAUUUUUACAGAAGCCUUUGUGUCCCGGCAUCGAGCACGCAUUCGUGGUCUCUUCACUGCGAUU
Long non-coding RNA from Aptenodytes forsteri (emperor penguin), 512 nucleotides. RefSeq lists it as uncharacterized. The record is from RefSeq and is a predicted model, not a curated record. The transcript is spliced from 5 exons. NCBI's taxonomy places the organism in Eukaryota, Metazoa, Chordata, Aves, Sphenisciformes, Spheniscidae.